This 299-nucleotide unclassified non-coding RNA is filed under the name Hevea brasiliensis (rubber tree). The record is from RNAcentral. Lineage: Eukaryota; Viridiplantae; Streptophyta; Magnoliopsida; Malpighiales; Euphorbiaceae.
AUCACCUGCAACUUCCUUGGAUGACGAGCUUCUACCCCAAAGUACAAACACAGAAAGCAGAGAAGAGAAAGACGCAAUGGAAGAUGAAGAAGAAGAUGAUUUUGGUGGGUUCUCUGAUAUGGCUGUAAGUGACGAUUUCUUCUCUGGUUUGGAAGAACUCGCCGAUCCGGUCACCGGAGACAGCUUCACCGAUCACUUUCCAGUGAACUUUGGCCUCCCCUGGCUAGCAAACAGUGCUGCUACGGCCGCAGGCGGUUUCUGAGAGUGGCCGGAAAAACCAUUGCCUUAAGCCUUUUUUU